RNAcentral lists this ribosomal RNA (557 nucleotides) under uncultured Methylobacterium sp. RNAcentral's name for it is "bacterial SSU rRNA". It matches the Rfam family "Bacterial small subunit ribosomal RNA", at positions 102 to 694 of the family's 1533-position model. The record is from RNAcentral. Lineage: Bacteria; Pseudomonadati; Pseudomonadota; Alphaproteobacteria; Hyphomicrobiales; Methylobacteriaceae.
ACGGGUGAGUAACACGUGGGAACGUACCCUUUGGUUCGGAAUAACGCUGGGAAACUAGCGCUAAUACCGGAUACGCCCUUUUGGGGAAAGGCUUGCUGCCGAAGGAUCGGCCCGCGUCUGAUUAGCUAGUUGGUGGGGUAAUGGCCUACCAAGGCGACGAUCAGUAGCUGGUCUGAGAGGAUGAUCAGCCACACUGGGACUGAGACACGGCCCAGACUCCUACGGGAGGCAGCAAUGGGGAAUAUUGGACAAUGGGCGCAAGCCUGAUCCAGCCAUGCCGCGUGAGUGAUGAAGGCCUUAGGGUUGUAAAGCUCUUUUGUCCGGGACGAUAAUGACGGUACCGGAAGAAUAAGCCCCGGCUAACUUCGUGCCAGCAGCCGCGGUAAUACGAAGGGGGCUAGCGUUGCUCGGAAUCACUGGGCGUAAAGGGCGCGUAGGCGGCCAUUCAAGUCGGGGGUGAAAGCCUGUGGCUCAACCACAGAAUUGCCUUCGAUACUGUUUGGCUUGAGUAUGGUAGAGGUCGGUGGAACUGCGAGUGUAGAGGUGAAAUUCGUAGA